Aphis gossypii (cotton aphid) is the source of this 1810-nucleotide RNA transcript. It is a transcript of the gene named probable medium-chain specific acyl-CoA dehydrogenase, mitochondrial, with no coding region annotated. The record is from RefSeq and is a predicted model, not a curated record. The transcript has 11 exons. NCBI's taxonomy places the organism in Eukaryota, Metazoa, Arthropoda, Insecta, Hemiptera, Aphididae.
AGUAAUCUAGCACAAGUCAUAUUUAAUUAGUAUUAUUAUUGUAAAUCAGUAGACUGCAUUGCAGUGAUGUGUUCAUAUUUUUGAUUUACUCAAGCAUCUUAAAUAAAAAUGAUUACAGUUAACCAAGUAUUAAUACGUAAUGUAUGUCGAAGCACUAGAUAUGUUAUUACAAAUAGGAAGUAUAGUGAACAAUCUCAAUACACACCUUUCAGUCUAGAAUUAUCUGAUACACAAAAGGAAUUUCGUGACUUAGCAAGAAAAUUUACUAGAGAAGAAAUUAUACCCGUUGCGGCUAAAUAUGAUAGAACUGGUCAGUACCCUUGGGAUAUAAUAAAAAAAGCACAUUCAGUUGGACUUCUCAAUAGCCAUGUUCCUAAACAUUGUGGUGGUAUGAACAUGUCUGUAAUAGAUGGAUCCUUAAUUGCUGAAGAAUUUGGUUAUGGAUGUACUGGAAUUGAAACUACUCUAGAAGGGAGUAAUUUAGGUCAAAUUUCAGUUAUAAUUGGUGGAAAUAAAGAACAACAGAAAAAAUACCUUGGAAGGUUAAUUGAAGAGCCUUUGGUAGCUGCUUAUUGUGAAACAGAACCUGAUGCAGGUUCAGAUUUUAAUACUUUAAAAACAAAUGCUGUGAAAAAAGGUGACGAAUAUAUCAUUAACGGACAAAAAAUGUGGAUAACUAAUGGUGGUGUGGCCAACUGGUAUUUUGUAUUAGCUCGCACUGAUAUGGACCCUAAAGCACCAGCGAGCAAAGCAUUAACUGGUUUUAUUGUUGAUGCUGAUACACCUGGCCUCACACCUGGGCGAAAAGAAUUAAAUAUGGGACAAAAAGCUUCAGAUACGAGAGGAAUUACUUUUGAAGAUGUCCGAGUGCCCAAAGAAAAUGUAUUAACUGGAGAAGGCCAAGGCUUUAAAAUUGCUAUGUUGACGCUUAACAAAACGAGAAUAUCUAUUGCUGCUGGAGCCGUUGGCUUAGCUCAAAGAGCAUUGGAUGAAGCUGCUAAGUAUUCGCUUGAAAGAAAAGCAUUUGGAGUACCUAUCGCUAAACACCAAGCUGUUGCUUUUAUGUUAGCUGACAUGGCCAUUGGUAUUGAGGCUGCUCGACUUACAUACAUGAAAGCUGCAUUUGAAGUUGAUCAAGGACAACGCCAUUCUUAUUAUUCAUCAAUUUGUAAAGCCCAUGCUGCUGGUGUGGCAAAUAAAUGUGCUACUGAUGCCGUACAAAUUUUUGGUGGAAAUGGUUACAAUACAGAAUACCCUGUAGAGAAGUUAAUGAGAGAUGCUAAAAUAUAUCAAAUUUACGAAGGCACUGAUCAAAUCCAACGGUUGAUCAUUUCAAAAGACAUCAUUGAAAAAACCAAACAAAAUAUUGCAUACGCGUGCGUUGUUUUAGGAAAAUGUAGUAUGGGAAUGCUAAUUAAAAUCAAAAGCUAAUAUAGAAGCUGAAUUCCCUUGCGCUCCCGCCCAAGUCGAGCACUGGAUACGAGGAGAAGAGGAUUAAAGUAUUAAGCUGUAGAUUCUGCAGUACACUCCGUUCAGAAUCACUCCGAUGAAUGUUGAUUUAACAAUGAUGUGUUUUCUUUUUUUUGCCUGUGUACAGCAUAAGUCAUAACUAGUUGAAAUAUGGAAAAUUGAAUAUCUUAAGUGCAUUAUAGUCUAUAGAGGUCAAAAGCAAACAUUUUUCAACAGUUUUCAAAAAAAUCGAGAAAAACAAAAAAAAAGUGACGGAAAAACGGUUUAUAAAUCAAUUUUUUAUACGGUUGUAACUAUAAAACUUAUCACUGUGAAUACUUGAAACUUUCACCACAUACUU